RNAcentral lists this unclassified non-coding RNA (388 nucleotides) under uncultured fungus. RNAcentral describes it as "sequence contains ITS1". The stretch from base 1 to 97 matches the Rfam family "5.8S ribosomal RNA", at positions 50 to 154 of the family's 154-position model. The record is from RNAcentral. Lineage: Eukaryota; Fungi.
GAAAUGCGAUACGCAGUGCGAAUUGCAGAACGCGAGUCAUCAGAUCUUUGAACGCAAGUGGCGCCGGUUAGCAGCCGGCAUGUGGUGCUCAGUGUGUACGGAAAUCACACAGGUGAAUGUGGUUGAAGCGCGCCAAGUGCUUCUCCCAUUAAACGAGUGGACAAUUGUGGCUGCAUACCGAGCGUAUGCGGCGAGUGAGCUGCGCUAACGCACGCACACACAAUAUUUCCUCUCCGGAAGUAGUCACUAACUCCAUAGUGAUCUACGGAGACGCGGAAUAGUGCGCUGCGGCAACUCAACAAACAUGCGGGGGCGCGCAACACAAACACGCCAACCCCCUCCUCCUCACUCUACACCUGAGCUCCGCAAGAUCACCCGCUGAACUUAA